Non-coding RNA from Pelobates cultripes (western spadefoot toad), 81 nucleotides. Lineage: Eukaryota; Metazoa; Chordata; Amphibia; Anura; Pelobatidae. The record is from the annotation of a GenBank genome assembly.
CUCCAGAUGUUGCUGAACUACAACUCCUAUGAAUGAAAUAGGCUGAGAAUCAUGGGAGUUGUAGUUCAGCAACAUCUGGAG